This 894-nucleotide ribosomal RNA is filed under the name marine metagenome. RNAcentral describes it as "bacterial SSU rRNA". It matches the Rfam family "Bacterial small subunit ribosomal RNA", at positions 448 to 1341 of the family's 1533-position model. The record is from RNAcentral.
AGUAUUGUUAAUACCAAUACUCCGUGACAUUACUUACAGAAUAAGGACCGGCUAAUUCCGUGCCAGCAGCCGCGGUAAUACGGAAGGUCCAAGCGUUAAUCGGAAUUACUGGGCGUAAAGCGCGCGUAGGUGGUUUAUUAAGUUGGGUGUGAAAGCCCCGGGCUCAACCUGGGAACUGCAUCCAAAACUGAUUCACUAGAGUACGAAAGAGGAAAGUAGAAUUCACAGUGUAGCGGUGGAAUGCGUAGAUAUUGUGAAGAAUACCGAUGGCGAAGGCAGCUUUCUGGUUCUGUACUGACACUGAGGUGCGAAAGCGUGGGUAGCGAACAGGAUUAGAUACCCUGGUAGUCCACGCCGUAAACGAUGACAACUAGCUGUUGGGAAGCUAUGCUUUUCAGUGGCGCAGCUAACGUCUUAAGUUGUCCGCCUGGGGAGUACGGCCGCAAGGUUAAAACUCAAAUGAAUUGACGGGGACCCGCACAAGCGGUGGAGCAUGUGGUUUAAUUCGAUGCAACGCGAAAAACCUUACCUACACUUGACAUACUUGGAAUCUUUUGUAACGAAAGAGUGCCUUUUGGAGCCAAGAUACAGGUGCUGCAUGGCUGUCGUCAGCUCGUGUCGUGAGAUGUUGGGUUAAGUCCCAUAACGAGCGCAACCCUUACCCUUAUUUGCCAGCGAUUCGGUCGGGAACUAUAAGGGGACUGCCGGUGAUAAACCGGAGGAAGGUGAGGACGACGUCAAGUCAUCAUGGCCCUUACGUGUAGGGCUACACACGUGCUACAAUGGGGAGUACAGAUAGACGCUAAAGCGCGAGCUGGUGCUAAUCUCAUAAAACUCUUCGUAGUCCGGAUUGCAGUCUGCAACUCGACUGCAUGAAGUCGGAAUCGCUAGUAA